GAGUGUAUAGCUCAGUGGUAGAGUGCAUGGCUAGCCUGCAUGAGAUCCUGGGUUCAAUGCCUAGUAUCUCU
This 71-nucleotide transfer RNA is filed under the name Camelus bactrianus (Bactrian camel). It matches the Rfam family "tRNA". From Rfam's summary of the family: Transfer RNA (tRNA) molecules are approximately 80 nucleotides in length. RNAcentral also lists the same sequence under 1 other name. Lineage: Eukaryota; Metazoa; Chordata; Mammalia; Artiodactyla; Camelidae. The record is from Rfam by way of RNAcentral.